This 497-nucleotide ribosomal RNA is filed under the name uncultured bacterium. RNAcentral's name for it is "partial 16S ribosomal RNA". It matches the Rfam family "Bacterial small subunit ribosomal RNA", at positions 28 to 507 of the family's 1533-position model. The record is from RNAcentral.
GAUGAACGCUGGCGGCGUGCCUAAUACAUGCAAGUCGAGCGAACAGACGAGGAGCUUGCUCCUCUGACGUUAGCGGCGGACGGGUGAGUAACACGUGGAUAACCUACCUAUAAGACUGGGAUAACUUCGGGAAACUGGCGCUAAUACCGGAUAAUAUAUUGAACCGCAUGGUUCAAUAGUGAAAGACGGUUUUGCUGUCACUUAUAGAUGGAUCCGCGCCGCAUUAGCUAGUUGGGAAGGUAACGGCUAACCAAGGCAACGAUGCGUAGGCGACCUGAGAGGGUGAUCGGCCACACUGGAACUGAGACACGGUCCAGACUACUACGGGAGGCAGCAGUAGGGAAUCGUCCGCAAUGGGCGAAAGCUUGACGGAGCAACGCCGCGUGAGUGAUGAAGGUCUUCGGAGCGUAAAAAUCUGUUAUUAGGGAAGAACAAAUGUGUAAGUAACUAUGCACGUCUUGACGGUACCUAAUCAGAAAGCCACGGCUAACUACGUG